UACGUAGGGGGCAAGCGUUGUCCGGAUUUAUUGGGCGUAAAGAGCGUGUAGGCGGCCAGGUAGGUCUGCUGUGAAAACUCGAGGCUCAACCUCGAGACGUCGGCGGAAACCAUCUGGCUAGAGUCCGGAAGAGGAGAGUGGAAUUCCUGGUGUAGCGGUGAAAUGCGCAGAUAUCUGGAGGAACACCGGUGGCGAAGGCGGCGUUCUGGACUGCAACUGACACUGAUGGACGAAAGCCAGGGGAGCAAACGGG
RNAcentral lists this ribosomal RNA (253 nucleotides) under uncultured bacterium. RNAcentral's name for it is "partial 16S ribosomal RNA". It matches the Rfam family "Bacterial small subunit ribosomal RNA", at positions 524 to 776 of the family's 1533-position model. The record is from RNAcentral.